Molecule: unclassified non-coding RNA, 1196 nt
Filed under: Hevea brasiliensis (rubber tree)
Lineage: Eukaryota; Viridiplantae; Streptophyta; Magnoliopsida; Malpighiales; Euphorbiaceae
Source: RNAcentral
GGAAAACAUUGUGCUCUCCAUGCAUAAAAGAUAACAAAACUAGUAAAACUUCCAUCAUGAUUACCAUAAAAUGAUAACAUCAAAGGACAGAGAAUUAAGUUCUUCAAUGUCUGCCAUAAGAGAGGAUCAAAUAGAAGACAAACUAUUACAAACUUCAAACAGGCCUAUAUUCUUUGUCAUUGCUUUUACUUGCAGAGUGAAGCUAACACACGACGAGGUGGGUUGAACGAUUUUCUGGAGUGAAGAACAGCCAAAUUGUCAAUCAGCAAGACAUCGCCUUUCUUCCAUGGAAUCGCGACACUUUCAUCCUCAAGGAUGCUUAAACAAUCAUGUACAACUUCAGCAGGCAAAGGCUGACCAUCUCCAAAAGUGACUGCUUUCACAGGAUCGUUUUUAGCAUCUUUCCAUCCAGUAUAAGCAGCUACCAUGCUAUUGAACCAUAUUUUCUGCUGCCUUUCUUCGUUGAAUUUGAUGCCUGGUAUAGGUCCCAUGACGGUUUUAACACCAUCUUCUAGCCAUUCCAGCUUCAUCCCUAACUUGGCAGCCCUUUCUUCAGCAACACUCUUAUCUUUGGUUAAAAAUGUAGACUUCCAGCCUCGACCAAUCGGGGAAGAAGGAUCAUCAUCUUCCCCUAAUACCCUUAUAUAGAUUAAGCCAUGCUCUUCCAAUCGCUCAACAAACUCAGGAUACUUAUUCUUCAUCUUCUCAUAUACAACAUUACUUACAACUAUUGGAGUCUCUCCCCCACUUCCAGGUUCCACAUCACAAAAGAAGAACAACUUUGACGGAUACUCGGGAACCUGAGCCAUUUCAUGAUGAAAUGGAAUUUUUUGAUCAGGUGGCGAUUCAUUAGCAGUGAAGACACGACCAACAACACUAGUGCGAGGAGCAGCACCGCCGACGUACGGCAGUUCCUCGUAGCCGAAAGCUUCAACGACGUCAUUAAAGUCUGAUGCUGAGUUCACCGGAAAUCCCCUGAAAAGAAUAGCCCCAGAUUGAUGGAGAAGAGACCCAACCCAUGUUUUUUGUUCUUUGAUUAUCUGAGGAAGUUGGGAUAUAGGUUGAUUAGAGUUUGGAGAUAACACAGCUGGAAAAGGAACUCCAUUGUAAAGCUUCUGUUGAGGUACUCCGACUUGGGUCAACAAAUUUUCCGGCAUUUUUUCUUCUUUGCUCUGUUUUCGCCAUUAAUGAACAAU